Molecule: ribosomal RNA, 492 nt
Filed under: uncultured bacterium
Lineage: Bacteria
Description: partial 16S ribosomal RNA
Rfam family: Bacterial small subunit ribosomal RNA
Source: RNAcentral
AGUGAACGCUGGCGGUAGGCCUAACACAUGCAAGUCGAACGGCAGCACAGUAAGAGCUUGCUCUUACGGGUGGCGAGUGGCGGACGGGUGAGGAAUACAUCGGAAUCUACUUUUUCGUGGGGGAUAACGUAGGGAAACUUACGCUAAUACCGCAUACGACCUACGGGUGAAAGCAGGGGAUCUUCGGACCUUGCGCGAUUGAAUGAGCCGAUGUCGGAUUAGCUAGUUGGCGGGGUAAAGGCCCACCAAGGCGACGAUCCGUAGCUGGUCUGAGAGGAUGAUCGGCGACACUGGAACUGAGACACGGUCCAGACUCCUACGGGAGGCAGCAGUGGGGAAUAUUGGACAAUGGGCGCAAACCUGAUCCAGUCAUACCGCGUGGGUGAAGAAGGCCUUCGGGUUGUAAAGCCGUUUUGUUGGGAAAGAAAAGCAGCAGCUUAAUACCCAGCUGUUCUGACGGUACCGAAAGAAUAAGCACCGGCUAACUUCGUG